This 459-nucleotide ribosomal RNA is filed under the name uncultured bacterium. RNAcentral describes it as "partial 16S ribosomal RNA". It matches the Rfam family "Bacterial small subunit ribosomal RNA", at positions 338 to 795 of the family's 1533-position model. The record is from RNAcentral.
CCUACGGGGGGCAGCAGUGGGGAAUAUUGGGCAAUGGGCGCAAGCCUGACCCAGCAACGCCGCGUGAGGGAAGACGGUCCUAUGGAUUGUAAACCUCUUUUGUCGGGGAGCAACGAGGCCACGUGUGGCCGAAGUGAGAGUACCCGAAGAAAAAGCAUAGGCUAAAUCCGUGCCAGCAGCCGAGGUAAUACGGAGGAUGCGAGCGUUAGCCGGAUUUAUUGGGUUUAAAGGGUGCGUAGGCGGAACAUUAAGUCAGCGGUAAAAUCGAGGGGCUCAACCCCUUUAAGCCGUUGAAACUGGUGAUCUUGAGUGGGCGAGAAGUAUGCGGAAUGCGUGGUGUAGCGGUGAAAUGCAUAGAUAUCACGCAGAACUCCGAUUGCGAAGGCAGCAUACCGGCGCCCGACUGACGCUGAGGCACGAAAGCGUGGGGAUCGAACAGGAUUAGAUACCCGGGUAGUC